GAUGAACGCUAGCGGCAGGCUUAAUACAUGCAAGUCAAGGGGGUAGCAAUACUACCGGCGCACGGGUGAGUAACACGUACAUAACAUACCAUAUACUGGGGUAUAGCUUUGGGAAACUGAAGGUAAUCCCCCAUAACAUUGCGAGAGGGCAUCUGAUUGCAAUUAAAGUUUCGACGGUAUAUGAUUGAUGUGCGUUUGAUUAGCUUGUUGGUAGGGUAACGGCCUACCAAGGCGACGAUCAAUAGCUGGCGUGAGAGCGCGACUAGCCACACUGGAACUGAGACACGGUCCAGACUCCUACGGGAGGCAGCAGUAGGGAAUAUUGGACAAUGGGCGAAAGCCUGAUCCAGCCAUGCCGCGUGAUAGAUGAAGGCCCUCUGGGUUGUAAAUAUCUUUA
This 397-nucleotide ribosomal RNA is filed under the name uncultured bacterium. RNAcentral's name for it is "bacterial SSU rRNA". It matches the Rfam family "Bacterial small subunit ribosomal RNA", at positions 28 to 437 of the family's 1533-position model. The record is from RNAcentral.